CCUACGGGUGGCUGCAGUGGGGAAUCUUGGACAAUGGGGGAAACCCUGAUCCAGCGAUGCCGCGUGUGUGAAGAAGGCCUUAGGGUUGUAAAGCACUUUAAUGAGGGAGGAGUAGGUUAUUUUUAAUAGAGAUAGCUGAGGACGUUACCUCAAGAAUAAGCACCGGCUAACUCUGUGCCAGCAGCCGCGGUAAUACAGAGGGUGCGAGCGUUAAUCGGAAUUAUUGGGCGUAAAGGGAGCGUAGGCGGAUGUGCAAGUGGUAGGUGAAAUACCCG
Molecule: ribosomal RNA, 275 nt
Filed under: uncultured bacterium
Lineage: Bacteria
Description: partial 16S ribosomal RNA
Rfam family: Bacterial small subunit ribosomal RNA
Source: RNAcentral